CCCCUCUCAGGGUUGCACCUGGAGAGUUUCCAGUCCUCUCCCAGUCAUGACUACAGGAGGGAGAGUCAAACAGAGGCCUAUCCAUUCCAUUCCCAGCUUGAGCAGUGGCUAGAGCGUGGAAGACAAUCUGCUACAAGU
This 138-nucleotide small nucleolar RNA is filed under the name Ornithorhynchus anatinus (platypus). Lineage: Eukaryota; Metazoa; Chordata; Mammalia; Monotremata; Ornithorhynchidae. The record is from RNAcentral.